UGUAAGCGUAUACCAAAGUUGUUGCAGUUAAAACGCUCGUAGUCGGAAUUUGGCAGUUCCGGAUGUGUGCACGUCGUGUGCGCACUUCGCGGGGAUUGCUCUUGUGGUCUUGCGUAGGAUGAGGCACUUUUAUUAGUGAACGUCCUCACGCAACCACUUUUUACUGUGAGAAAAUCAGAGUGCUCAAAGCAGGCAUUUGCCGUGAAUGUAUUAGCAUGGAAUAAUAGAAUAGGACUUGGUUCUAUUUUGUUGGUUUGUUGGGACUGAGUAAUGAUUAAGAGGGACAGUUGGGGGCAUUUGUAUUUCGGUGCUAGAGGUGAAAUUCUUAGAUUACCGAAAGACAAACUGCUGCGAAAGCGUCUGCCAAGGAUGUUUUCAUUGA
This 382-nucleotide ribosomal RNA is filed under the name uncultured eukaryote. Its description in RNAcentral is "partial 18S ribosomal RNA". It matches the Rfam family "Eukaryotic small subunit ribosomal RNA", at positions 592 to 976 of the family's 1831-position model. The record is from RNAcentral.